GUUAGGAAUAUUGGACAAUGGGCGCAAGCCUGAUCCAGCCAUGCCGCGUGAGUGAUGAAGGCCUUCGGGUUGUAAAGCUCUUUAGUCCACGAAUAUAAUGACUGUAGUGGAAGAAUAAGCCCCGGCUAACUUCGUGCCAGCAGCCGCGGUAAUACGAAGGGGGCGAGCGUUAUUCGGAAUCACUGGGCGUAAAGCGUGCGUAGGCUGUUUUGUAAGUCAGAAGUGAAAGCCCAGGGCUUAACCCUGGAAUUGCUUUUGAAACUACAAGACUCGAAUUCGGGAGAGGAUAGCGGAAUUGUCAGUGUAGCAGUGAAAUGCGUAGAUAUUGACAGGAACACCAGUGGCGCAAGCGGCUAUCUGGACCGAUAUUGACGCUGAGGCACGAAAGCGUGGGGAGCAAACAGGAUUAGAAACCCUAGUAGUCU
Molecule: ribosomal RNA, 425 nt
Filed under: uncultured bacterium
Lineage: Bacteria
Description: bacterial SSU rRNA
Rfam family: Bacterial small subunit ribosomal RNA
Source: RNAcentral